UGGAGGUUGUGCCCUUGAGGCGUGGCUUCCGGAGCUAACGCGUUAAGUCGACCGCCUGGGGAGUACGGCCGCAAGGUUAAAACUCAAAUGAAUUGACGGGGGCCCGCACAAGCGGUGGAGCAUGUGGUUUAAUUCGAUGCAACGCGAAGAACCUUACCUACUCUUGACAUCCAGAGAACUUACCAGAGAUGCAUUGGUGCCUUCGGGAACUCUGAGACAGGUGCUGCAUGGCUGUCGUCAGCUCGUGUUGUGAAAUGUUGGGUUAAGUCCCGCAACGAGCGCAACCCUUAUCCUUUGUUGCCAGCGGUCCGGCCGGGAACUCAAAGGAGACUGCCAGUGAUAAACUGGAGGAAGGUGGGGAUGACGUCAAGUCAUCAUGGCCCUUACGAGUAGGGCUACACACGUGCUACAAUGGCGCAUACAAAGAGAAGCGAACUCGCGAGAGCAAGCGGACCUCAUAAAGUGCGUCGUAGUCCGGAUUGGAGUCUGCAACUCGACUCCAUGAAGUCGGAAUCGCUAGUAAUCGUAGAUCAGAAUGCUACGGUGAAUACGUUCCCGGGCCU
This 563-nucleotide ribosomal RNA is filed under the name Enterobacterales bacterium. RNAcentral's name for it is "bacterial SSU rRNA". It matches the Rfam family "Bacterial small subunit ribosomal RNA", at positions 818 to 1381 of the family's 1533-position model. The record is from RNAcentral. Lineage: Bacteria; Pseudomonadati; Pseudomonadota; Gammaproteobacteria; Enterobacterales.